GGCUCUUGAUACAAUCAGUUUAAAAUUCUCUGUACGGUUUCGUCUCAGCCGUCCACUCAUUCUCUAUGGCCACGAUUCCGCCAUCGCUUCGGUAGCUGGCAUGAUCCGAGGCGCAGCUCCCGAUACAAUCAGUUUCAAAUUCCCUGUACGGUUUCGUCUCAGCCGUCCACACCUUCUCUACGGCCACGAUCUCGCCAUCUCUUUUGUCUUAUAUGCGGCAUUAAUUAGGUCAUCUUAAUUGCCGCCGUCUUUUCAUCAUUAUAGCCGAUCUUGGGAAACGAUUUCGACGCGACAGCUCCUUUUUUUCUUCGCCAAGCUUCCUUUUCUCUAGUUCCUUUUUAACUCAAGCCUUGUCCUCUUCGCCUUCUCUUUACUUCUCCUCGUUUUCUCCGACCUCUUCUCCAUCUCUGAUCUACAGCUUUGGCCCACUUCCUUUUCCUUUUCAAUCCUUAGAGUCUUUUUCACUCUUUAACAAUGGCGCCUCUUCCGCCUCUUCCUUCUUAUCUGUCUUUAGACUAUAACUUACUUAGACAGUUCGUUGAAUCGGAUCCCUCUCGAUUUAUUUUAGGCCCUUCCUUUACAGGCGAACCAUUCCCUGC
Molecule: long non-coding RNA, 599 nt
Filed under: Ananas comosus (pineapple)
Lineage: Eukaryota; Viridiplantae; Streptophyta; Magnoliopsida; Poales; Bromeliaceae
Description: long non-coding RNA (ACOM_LNC007208)
Source: RNAcentral